Molecule: long non-coding RNA, 544 nt
Filed under: Pongo abelii (Sumatran orangutan)
Lineage: Eukaryota; Metazoa; Chordata; Mammalia; Primates; Hominidae
Description: lincRNA
Source: RNAcentral
GCCGCGGGGGCCAUUGAUACAGAGGCCUGCUGCGCUUGGUGUGCGCGGCCCGGCCGGGCCUCUGGAAACGCCCAUGAGAAAUGAGCUCAUGCUGGAUGCGCGCGCUCCUUGGGCGCAACUGCCCAGCGCAAAACGGGCCCCGAAAGCAGGGUCUCACUUUGUCCUCCAGGCUGGAGUGCUGCAGCCUCAACCUCCUGGGUUCAAGGGAUCCUGCUGCCUCAGCCCCCCAAGUAGCUAGGACUACAAGGUGCACCACCACACCCAGCUAAUUUUUAUAUUUUUUGUAUAAAUGGGGUUUCGCCAUGUUGCCCAGACUGGUCUCGAACUCCUGGGCUCAAAAUCUGCAUGCCAUGGCUUCUCAAAAUGCUAGGAUUACUGGCGUGAGUCACCAUGCCUGGCCUAUAAUUUGUUAAUAUGGUUGUUACUACAUAGUUUAAAAUAAAUUGCCCAUGCAUUCCUAUUUAUAAUAGGUGAGUGGAGGACACUUCAAUCUAAAGUGAUCUUAAAGGAUGAGUAGUAGGAUUUGAAGAUGAAGAAAGAAGAG